Molecule: unclassified non-coding RNA, 403 nt
Filed under: Hevea brasiliensis (rubber tree)
Lineage: Eukaryota; Viridiplantae; Streptophyta; Magnoliopsida; Malpighiales; Euphorbiaceae
Source: RNAcentral
UGUAGCUCCGCCCCUGCUCUUAGUCUAGCAUUUUCACCUUAUUUACCUUACACUUGAGAAUAGAUAAAAAGAAUAUUUCCCAAAAAAGAAAAGAUUUCCCAUCACACCCAACGUAAUCGAAAUUGUCUACACAAUCGAGAAAGAGACGCUCAUUAUUUUCACUAGCAAAAUGUAACUAAGGUUCAAACACUUGAGCUGAGUGUUAAAUCACUACUAUUUUAUUAAUCAGCUCUUUGAGAUAUAUGGAAAGUUGAGAGUAUUGCUAGUUUAACAUGAUUAACUGAGUAACACAAACAUUAGACAGAUGAUUGAAGCCCAAUAACGCCACAGCCAACUCUUGCACCUGCGUUUCCAGUUGUCUUACUAAGUUCAUGUCCACCUCUUCCCAGAUCAUCAGGAUCAG